This 484-nucleotide ribosomal RNA is filed under the name uncultured bacterium. RNAcentral describes it as "partial 16S ribosomal RNA". It matches the Rfam family "Bacterial small subunit ribosomal RNA", at positions 30 to 507 of the family's 1533-position model. The record is from RNAcentral.
AUUGAACGCUGGCGGCAGGCCUAACACAUGCAAGUCGAGCGGAUGAGUGGAGCUUGCUCCCUGAUUCAGCGGCGGACGGGUGAGUAAUGCCUAGGAAUCUGCCUGGUAGUGGGGGACAACGUUUCGAAAGGAACGCUAAUACCGCAUACGUCCUACGGGAGAAAGUGGGGGAUCUUCGGACCUCACGCUAUCAGAUGAGCCUAGGUCGGAUUAGCUAGUUGGCGAGGUAAAGGCUCACCAAGGCGACGAUCCGUAACUGGUCUGAGAGGAUGAUCAGUCACACUGGAACUGAGACACGGUCCAGACUCCUACGGGAGGCAGCAGUGGGGAAUAUUGGACAAUGGGCGAAAGCCUGAUCCAGCCAUGCCGCGUGUGUGAAGAAGGUCUUCGGAUUGUAAAGCACUUUAAGUUGGGAGGAAGGGCAGUAAGUUAAUACCUUGCUGUUUUGACGUUACCAACAGAAUAAGCACCGGCUAACUUCGUG